This 443-nucleotide ribosomal RNA is filed under the name uncultured bacterium. RNAcentral describes it as "bacterial SSU rRNA". It matches the Rfam family "Bacterial small subunit ribosomal RNA", at positions 958 to 1399 of the family's 1533-position model. The record is from RNAcentral.
AACGCGAAGAACCUUACCAGCUCUUGACAUGGGACGUUUGGGCUCGAGAGAUCGGGUCCGUCAGUUCGGCUGGCGUCCACACAGGUGCUGCAUGGCUGUCGUCAGCUCGUGUCGUGAGAUGUUGGGUUAAGUCCCGCAACGAGCGCAACCCUCAUCUUCAGUUGCCAUCAUUAAGUUGGGAACUCUAAAGGUACCGCCGGUGGUAAGCCGGAGGAAGGUGGGGAUGAUGUCAAGUCCUCAUGGCCCUUACAAGGUGGGCUACACACGUGCUACAAUGGCGACUACAGAGGGCAGCAAACCAGCGAUGGGGAGCCAAUCCCUAAAAGUCGUCUCAGUUCGGAUUGCACUCUGCAACUCGAGUGCAUGAAGUCGGAAUCGCUAGUAAUCGCGGAUCAGCACGCCGCGGUGAAUACGUUCCCGGGCCUUGUACACACCGACUGUAC